UGUUGCUAGCCUGGGUGAGAACCCGACGAGACGCGCCGUACCGGGCCACGACAAGACGACGCACC
RNAcentral lists this non-coding RNA (65 nucleotides) under Streptomyces tsukubensis. The record is from RNAcentral. Lineage: Bacteria; Bacillati; Actinomycetota; Actinomycetes; Kitasatosporales; Streptomycetaceae.